This 252-nucleotide ribosomal RNA is filed under the name uncultured bacterium. Its description in RNAcentral is "partial 16S ribosomal RNA". It matches the Rfam family "Bacterial small subunit ribosomal RNA", at positions 524 to 776 of the family's 1533-position model. The record is from RNAcentral.
UACGAAGGGGGCUAGCGUUGUUCGGAAUUACUGGGCGUAAAGCGCACGUAGGCGGAUAUUUAAGUCAGGGGUGAAAUCCCAGAGCUCAACUCUGGAACUGCCUUUGAUACUGGGUAUCUUGAGUAUGGAAGAGGUAAGUGGAAUUGCGAGUGUAGAGGUGAAAUUCGUAGAUAUUCGCAGGAACACCAGUGGCGAAGGCGGCUUACUGGCCAUAACUGACGCUGAGGUGCGAAAGCGUGGGGAGCAAACAGG